The sequence is a transfer RNA, 72 nucleotides long. It matches the Rfam family "tRNA". Rfam says of the family: Transfer RNA (tRNA) molecules are approximately 80 nucleotides in length. Their secondary structure includes four short double-helical elements and three loops (D, anti-codon, and T loops).
GCUCCCGUAGUUCAACGGAUAGAAUAGGGGACUUCUAAGCCUUAGAUGUAGGUUCGAUUCCUGCCGGGAGCA